AUGCAAGAUCCCUGGGGAUGAGAAGCGAA
Molecule: non-coding RNA, 29 nt
Filed under: Rattus norvegicus (Norway rat)
Lineage: Eukaryota; Metazoa; Chordata; Mammalia; Rodentia; Muridae
Source: RNAcentral